AAGCAUAUCAAUAAGCGGAGGAAAAGAAACUAACCAGGAUUCCCUUAGUAACUGCGAGUGAAGUGGGAAGAGCUCAAAUUUGUAAUCUGGCGGCCUUUGGACGUCCGAGUUGUAAUCUAAAGAAGUGCUACCUGUGCUGGACCGUGUACAAGUCUUCUGGAAUGGAGCAUCACAGAGGGUGAGAAUCCCGUCUUUGACAUGGACUGCCAGUGCUCAAUAGGUGUGCUCUCGAAGAGUCGAGUUGUUUGGGAAUGCAGCUCAAAAUGGGUGGUAAAUGCCAUCUAAAGCUAAAUAUUGGCGAGAGACCGAUAGCGAACAAGUACCGUGAGGGAAAGAUGAAAAGAACUUUGGAAAGAGAGUUAAACAGUACGUGAAAUUGCUGAAAGGGAAACGCUUGAAGUCAGUCGCGUCUGUCAGGAAUCAACCUUGCUCUUGCUGGGUGUACUUUCUGUCGGAUGGGUCAGCAUCAGUUUCGGUCGCUGGACAAAGUUCUUUGGGAAUGUGGCAUCCUCGGAUGUGUUAUAGCCCUUGGGACACAUGCAGCGGUCGGGAUUGAGGAACUCAGCACGCCCGUGAGGGCUGGGGCUUUUUGCCCACAUAACUGUGCUUAGGAUGCUGGCGUAAUGGCUUUAAUCGACCCGUCUUGAAACACGGACCAAGGAGUCUAACAUGCCUGCGAGUGUUUGAGUGGAAAACUCAUGCGCGCAAUGAAAGUGAUAGUUGAGAUCCCUGUCAUGGGGAGCAUCGAUGCCCAGACCAGACCUUUUGUGACGGAUCUGCGGUAGAGCAUGCAUGUUGGGACCCGAAAGAUGGUGAACUAUGCCUGAAUAGGGUGAAGCCAGAGGAAACUCUGGUGGAGGCUCGUAGCGAUUCUGACGUGCAAAUCGAUCGUCAAAUUUGGGUAUAGGGGCGAAAGACU
RNAcentral lists this ribosomal RNA (919 nucleotides) under Inosperma lanatodiscum. RNAcentral's name for it is "LSU rRNA". It matches the Rfam family "Eukaryotic large subunit ribosomal RNA", at positions 36 to 932 of the family's 3401-position model. Lineage: Eukaryota; Fungi; Basidiomycota; Agaricomycetes; Agaricales; Inocybaceae. The record is from RNAcentral.